Molecule: ribosomal RNA, 253 nt
Filed under: uncultured bacterium
Lineage: Bacteria
Description: partial 16S ribosomal RNA
Rfam family: Bacterial small subunit ribosomal RNA
Source: RNAcentral
GACGUAGGGGGCAAGCGUUGUCCGGAAUCAUUGGGCGUAAAGAGCGUGUAGGCGGCCCGGUAAGUCCGCCGUGAAAGUCCAGGGCUCAACCCUGGAAUGCCGGUGGAAACUGCCGGGCUGGAGUCCGGAAGAGGCGAGUGGAAUUCCUGGUGUAGCGGUGAAAUGCGCAGAUAUCAGGAGGAACACCAAUGGCGAAGGCAGCUCGCUGGGACGGUACUGACGCUGAGACGCGAAAGCGUGGGGAGCAAACAGG